RNAcentral lists this unclassified non-coding RNA (259 nucleotides) under uncultured fungus. RNAcentral describes it as "partial contains 5.8S ribosomal RNA, internal transcribed spacer 2, and large subunit ribosomal RNA". The stretch from base 1 to 52 matches the Rfam family "5.8S ribosomal RNA", at positions 103 to 154 of the family's 154-position model. The record is from RNAcentral. Lineage: Eukaryota; Fungi. RNAcentral also lists the same sequence under 1 other name.
AACGCACAUUGCGCCUCCUGGUAUUCCGGGAGGCAUGCCUGUUCGAGCGUCAUUAAAUACCUCUCAAGCACAUUUGCUUGGUCGUGGAAGAUGAGUAUGCUUGCAUUCUCCCUUCUGAAAUUCACAGGCGGAUGAUCUCAUAUCCCCAGGCGUAGUAAGUUUAUCUUUUCGCUCGGUGUGUGUGAUAGUCCUGCCUUCAACCCCCAAUUUUUUUUUCCAGGUUGACCUCGGAUCAGGUAGGGAUACCCGCUGAACUUAA